RNAcentral lists this ribosomal RNA (468 nucleotides) under uncultured fungus. RNAcentral describes it as "eukaryotic LSU rRNA". The stretch from base 114 to 267 matches the Rfam family "5.8S ribosomal RNA". Lineage: Eukaryota; Fungi. The record is from RNAcentral.
CAUUAGUGAACGCCCUCACGGGCUUAUAACUAUUCCAAACCUCUGUGAACCGUGCCCUUCGGGGCUAUUUUACAAACAUGGUGUAAUGAACGUCAUAUAUCAUAACAAAACAAAACUUUCAACAACGGAUCUCUUGGCUCUCGCAUCGAUGAAGAACGCAGCGAAAUGCGAUAAGUAAUGUGAAUUGCAGAAUUCAGUGAAUCAUCGAAUCUUUGAACGCACCUUGCGCCCUCUGGUAUUCCGGAGGGCAUGCCUGUUUGAGUGUCAUGUAGACUCAAUCCCUCGGGUUUCCGAGGAGAUUGGACUUGGGUGUUGCCGCUCUGCCGGCUCGCCUUAAAAGACUUAGCGGGAUAGCACCGUAGUCGGCGUAAUAAGUUUCGUCGGUGAAGGUUGUGAUGACUGCUUACAAUCGCCCUCGGGCAAUUUUUGACUCUGACCUCAAAUCAGGUAGGACUACCCGCUGAACUU